This 262-nucleotide long non-coding RNA is filed under the name Elaeis guineensis (African oil palm). Its description in RNAcentral is "long non-coding RNA (EGUI_LNC010030)". Lineage: Eukaryota; Viridiplantae; Streptophyta; Magnoliopsida; Arecales; Arecaceae. The record is from RNAcentral.
AUUGACUUAGGCAUCGGAGGAUCUCCAUCGGAUAAAAAUUCGAUCAGUGAAUUUUUUUUGCAGGUUGCUCUUCAUCGAAGUCAGACGUACUCGGAGAUUGGCCACAAUAGAUUGGCGCGUCAGGUAGAGGGAGAAAAUCCAAUCAUCAUGAUGAAAAUGAGAGCCAAGAAUAUUUCCAUCGGCUCUAUCUGGCAAUCUUUCUAUCAGAAAGAUCUCCCACCUACAUUGCAGAGCCCAGAUCCUUGCAUCCGAUCAUCACCAC